RNAcentral lists this non-coding RNA (28 nucleotides) under Mus musculus (house mouse). The record is from RNAcentral. Lineage: Eukaryota; Metazoa; Chordata; Mammalia; Rodentia; Muridae.
UAGAGUGAGGAUGCUGCUGGAAUACAUC